RNAcentral lists this ribosomal RNA (1070 nucleotides) under Dicellarius bimaculatus fictus. RNAcentral's name for it is "partial large subunit ribosomal RNA". The record is from RNAcentral. Lineage: Eukaryota; Metazoa; Arthropoda; Diplopoda; Polydesmida; Xystodesmidae.
GAUAGUUUGGGCUUAUUUAUUUUUUAAUAGAAGAUGUUUAUAGAGUAUUUGAGCGAAAUUUGUGUUUGUACCUAGAGAGAAGAAGUACUGUGUGGGAAAAUUUAUUUAUUUAUUGAUAAAAUUAGGUUGUUUAGUACCUUUUGUAUUAGGGUUGAUUAAUGUGAGUUAGCAUUAGCUUUUUCUCGAUUAAUCUCGGGCUAUUUUCUCUUGGUUUAUUCUCGUUGUAUAGAGUUGAAUAGGGGUUUAUAGGUAUGAAAUAUUAUUCAAGUUAUUUUUUAUCUAGUUCUCUAAGAAAUUUAAUUUUUAAUAUUUUUAUUGGUUCAAUAGGCAGGGAUUAGCUUGUUUAUGUUUUAUAUGGGUGGUAUUUUUCUUUUUGUUUGUUGAGUUGAUAGUGCUAAUUUUUAUGGAGUUAUUGUUGGGCAAAUUUUUUAAAUUAUUUUUUGUUUUUGUGUUUUUAUUGGGGCUAUUUCAUUAAUUUUAAGUGUUAUGAGAUAAUGAUUAAAUUAGUAAUAUUUUGAUUUAUUCUGUGGUAUUAAUUGAGUUUUUAAUUUUGUUUUGAGUGUGGUUUUGUGUGGGGUACUAAAAUUAGAAUUGAUGAACUAGGCAAGGUUUGAUUUCUGACUGUUUAGCAAAGACAUUGUUUUUUGUUGGGGUAAAAAAUAAGUUCUGUCCACUGCUGUUAGGUGAAGGGCUGCAGUAUUUUGACUGUAUGAAGGUAGCAUAAUCAUUAGCCUUUUAAUUGGGGGCUGGUAUGAAGGUGAAACAGGGAUUUGCUGUUUUUAUUCUAUUUGUUGAAUUUUAUUUUUGUGUGAAAAAUCACGAUUGAAUUAGAGGGACAAGAAGACCCUAAUAAAUUUUAUUUCUUAUUAUUGAUGAGUGCAUAGGUUAUUAUUAGUGCGAUUUAGUUUAGGGGGUUUGACUGGGGCGGUUGUUUAGUUGAAACAUAAACUAAUCUUCAACUUUUAAUGACGUUUGAUUAGACCUGGGGUGUUUAGAUGAGUGUGUAAUUACUGUAGGGAUAACAGCGUGAUUCUAUUUGAGAGUUCUAAUUGACGAUAGAGUUUGCGACC